This is a long non-coding RNA of Bubalus bubalis (water buffalo), 1421 nucleotides long. RefSeq lists it as uncharacterized. The record is from RefSeq and is a predicted model, not a curated record. Lineage: Eukaryota; Metazoa; Chordata; Mammalia; Artiodactyla; Bovidae. The transcript has 2 exons.
GCAGAAGGAUUUCUGAGGGUUUACUGAGGUUCUGGAGGGAAAUCUGCAUGAGGACCCAGGAAUGACUUUGAAACAGAGAACUUCACAGGUGGGUAAGGAAUCUCUUACUACAACUGAAGCAAAGGAAAACAACAAACAGCCCUUCACUCAGGUGCCAAGAGCCAAAUAAGAAAAGGUUUCACACAUCCCCAGUCAAGAAGCAGGGCUGUGUCACCAACUUACAGACAGCAAAAACGCAACACUGAAACUCUCAGGGCUGGUGUCAAUCGGAACACGCAAGAGCCAGGAGCAGUGUUUGGUAAUGCUGGAGGAAAAACAACAUCUAAUGGGAACGGAUGAACUACAUUCAAAGUCUCACCUGACUCUCUCUCCCUUGCUCACUGUCUCUCUGUUUCUCUUUUUGUUAAACAUACAUGGAGUGUUUCCUGGGUACCAGGCACUGUCCUGAGUCUUCACUUGUGUCAACUCUACGAGAUAGGUGGUACUGUCAUCUGACAGAUGAAGAAACCGGGGUAAGGUAACUUGCUGGAGUUCAGCUCCUAAACAGCAGUCCUGGAAUCUGCACCCAGCUCCCGGCCCUGGGAUACCUCUGUCAUCUCCGAGCCUCCACGUGCUCACUUGCAGAGGAAGAGCUUGAUAGCAUCUUGCUUCCAUCCCUCUCAGCAGAGAGAUAAUCAGGAAAUCCGUCAAGAUAAGGAAAGCGCUUUGACAUCUUUUGGGGAAAACCAAGCUCCUGAACUAAGUCCAAACCACUAUGAUAUCUGGGUGACUGGAAGGUCACAGAUACCUAGGCUGCCUGACAGUCAUCACGUAGCGCCCAAGCCUUCACUGCACUGUUGAAGUCCUAACAGUGCACAUUUAAGAGCGCUUUCUCUCCUCACAGGUUCGCUCAUCUCACUCCAACUCUGCGGGAUGAGUAUUACCUUUAUUACUUGAUAGAUAAAGAAACAGAGAAAGAUGAGUACAAGUGCCUGACCUAAGCUUUGAUUGCCGAGGCGUCCAUUUCAAAGAGGUGACCUUCGAAGAUGGCUAUCUCGCAAAUAAACAUACUGCCAGCCACAAGACAGAUAAAAGCCAGGCUGCCGACUGGCUCUCCACCCCAGGCUCCUUGGUUUUAGAGGCUGUGGUUGAUUUCGAUAACUGACCGUGGAGCUACUUGUUUUUUCCUUUCGUCAUGCUUUAAACUCCAGCCUUUAUGUUUAAAGUUCACCAAUGAAGAGAGAGAUCUGCCCCCACCCUCAACCCCAAUAAAUGCAGAACCCCUGGCCUGUGUGCCCUUUCUCUUGCUCCUCUUUUUCUUUCCUUUCUUCCCUCCCUCUUCCCCUCCUUUCUCCCUCCCCUGACCUUGCUGUGUGGACUGCCUCUGGUAUGCUGUGUAAUUUCCAGGUCUUGUAAGCAAUAAACUUUUAUUUUUUCAAAGU